AGAGUUUGAUCCUGGCUCAGAAUCAACGCUGGCGGCGCGCUUAACACAUGCAAGUCGAGCGAGAAAGUGGAGCAAUCCAUGAGUACAGCGGCGUACGGGUGAGUAACACGUGGGUGAUCUGCCUCUUAGUGGGGAAUAACCCUGGGAAACCGGGGCUAAUACCGCAUAAUCCUGUGAAGGGAAAGCAGCAAUGCGCUGAGAGAGGAGCCCGCGGCCGAUUAGCUAGUUGGUGAGGUAACGGCCCACCAAGGCGACGAUCGGUAGCCGGCCUGAGAGGGCACACGGCCACACUGGCACUGAAACACGGGCCAGACUCCUACGGGAGGCAGCAGUGGGGAAUCUUGCACAAUGGAGGCAACUCUGAUGCAGCGACGCCGCGUGAGCGAUGAAGCCCUUCGGGGUGUAAAGCUCUUUCGGCAGGGACGAUAAUGACGGUACCUGAAGAAGAAGCUGCGGCUAACUACGUGCCAGCAGCCGCGGUAAUACGUAGGCAGCGAGCGUUGUUCGGAAUUACUGGGCGUAAAGAGUGUGUAGGCGGUGCUCUAAGUUCGGUGUGAAAUCUCCUGGCUUAACUGGGAGGGUGCGCCGGAAACUGGAGUGCUCGAGCGUGGGAGAGGAAAGCGGAAUUCCUGGUGUAGCGGUGAAAUGCGUAGAUAUCAGGAGGAACACCUGUGGUGUAGACGGCUUUCUGGACCAUUGCUGACGCUGAGACACGAAAGCGUGGGUAGCAAACAGGAUUAGAUACCCUAGUAGUCC
This 756-nucleotide ribosomal RNA is filed under the name uncultured bacterium. Its description in RNAcentral is "bacterial SSU rRNA". It matches the Rfam family "Bacterial small subunit ribosomal RNA", at positions 8 to 796 of the family's 1533-position model. The record is from RNAcentral.